UACGGGGGGAGCAAGCGUUGUUCGGAUUUACUGGGCGUAAAGGGCGCGUAGGCGGCCACCGCAAGUCAGUUGUGAAAUCUCUGGGCUUAACCCAGAACGGUCAGCUGAUACUGCGGGGCUAGAGUGCAGAAGGGGCAACUGGAAUUCUCGGUGUAGCGGUGAAAUGCGUAGAUAUCGAGAGGAACACCUGCGGCGAAGGCGGGUUGCUGGGCUGACACUGACGCUGACAGCGCGAAAGCUAGGGGAGCGAACGGG
This 255-nucleotide ribosomal RNA is filed under the name uncultured bacterium. RNAcentral's name for it is "partial 16S ribosomal RNA". It matches the Rfam family "Bacterial small subunit ribosomal RNA", at positions 524 to 776 of the family's 1533-position model. The record is from RNAcentral.